Molecule: transfer RNA, 64 nt
Filed under: Encyrtus infelix
Lineage: Eukaryota; Metazoa; Arthropoda; Insecta; Hymenoptera; Encyrtidae
Description: tRNA-Pro
Source: RNAcentral
UCAAAAGUAGUUUAAUUUAAAAUAUUAAUUUUGGAGAUAAAUGAUAAUUUUUUGUUUUUUUGAA